RNAcentral lists this ribosomal RNA (467 nucleotides) under uncultured bacterium. RNAcentral describes it as "partial 16S ribosomal RNA". It matches the Rfam family "Bacterial small subunit ribosomal RNA", at positions 28 to 507 of the family's 1533-position model. The record is from RNAcentral.
GACGAACGCUGGCGGCGUGCUUAACACAUGCAAGUCGAACGGAAAGGCUCCAGCUUGCUGGAGUACUCGAGUGGCGAACGGGUGAGUAACACGUGGGUAAUCUGCCCUGCACUCUGGGAUAAGCCUGGGAAACUGGGUCUAAUACUGGAUAUGACCUUUCUCCUUAUGGGGUUUGGUGGAAAGUUUUUCGGUGUAGGAUGAGCCCGCGGCCUAUCAGCUUGUUGGUGGGGUGAUGGCCUACCAAGGCGACGACGGGUAGCCGGCCUGAGAGGGUGAUCGGCCACAUUGGGACUGAGAUACGGCUCAGACUCCUACGGGAGGCAGCAGUGGGGAAUAUUGCACAAUGGGCGGAAGCCUGAUGCAGCGACGCCGCGUGAGGGAUGACGGCCUUCGGGUUGUAAACCUCUUUCAGCAGGGACGAAGCGUAAGUGACGGUACCUGCAGAAGAAGCACCGGCUAACUAUGUG